This 253-nucleotide ribosomal RNA is filed under the name uncultured bacterium. RNAcentral's name for it is "partial 16S ribosomal RNA". It matches the Rfam family "Bacterial small subunit ribosomal RNA", at positions 524 to 776 of the family's 1533-position model. The record is from RNAcentral.
UACGAAGGUCCCAAGCGUUGUUCGGAAUCACUGGGCGUAAAGCGUGCGUAGGCGGCAUGGUAAGUCAGAUGUGAAAUCUUUGGGCUCAACCCGGAAACUGCAUCCGAUACUGCCAUGCUGGAGUAAUGGAGGGGUAGCUGGAAUUCUCGGUGUAGCAGUGAAAUGCGUAGAUAUCGAGAGGAACACUCGUGGCGAAGGCGAGCUACUGGACAUUUACUGACGCUGAGGCACGAAGGCCAGGGUAGCGAAAGGG